UCCGCCCUACGGGAGGCAGCAGUAGGGAAUCUUCCACAAUGGACGAAAGUCUGAUGGAGCAACGCCGCGUGAGUGAAGAAGGGUUUCGGCUCGUAAAGCUCUGUUGGUAGUGAAGAAAGAUAGAGGUAGUAACUGGCCUUUAUUUGACGGGAAUUACUUAGAAAGUCACGGCUAACUACGUGCCAGCAGCCGCGGUAAUACGUAGGUGGCAAGCGUUGUCCGGAUUUAUUGGGCGUAG
This 238-nucleotide ribosomal RNA is filed under the name uncultured bacterium. Its description in RNAcentral is "partial 16S ribosomal RNA". It matches the Rfam family "Bacterial small subunit ribosomal RNA", at positions 330 to 563 of the family's 1533-position model. The record is from RNAcentral.